GAAUGCUGACAUAAGUAACGAUAAAGCGGGUGAAAAGCCCGCUCGCCGGAAGACCAAGGGUUCCUGUCCAACGUUAAUCGGGGCAGGGUGAGUCGACCCCUAAGGCGAGGCCGAAAGGCGUAGUCGAUGGGAAACGGGUUAAUAUUCCCGUACUUGGUGUUACUGCGAAGGGGGGACGGAGAAGGCUAUGUUGGCCGGGCGACGGUUGUCCCGGUUUAAGCGUGUAGGUGUGUGUUCCAGGUAAAUCCGGUUCACUUUAACACUGAGGCGUGACGACGAGGCACUACGGUGCUGAAGCAACAAAUGCCCUGCUUCCAGGAAAAGCCUCUAAGCAUCAGGUAACAUCAAAUCGUACCCCAAACCGACACAGGUGGUCAGGUAGAGAAUACCAAGGCGCUUGAGAGAACUCGGGUGAAGGAACUAGGCAAAAUGGUGCCGUAACUUCGGGAGAAGGCACGCUGACACGUAGGUGAAGUGAUUUACUCAUGGAGCUGAAGUCAGUCGAAGAUACCAGCUGGCUGCAACUGUUUAUUAAAAACACAGCACUGUGCAAACACGAAAGUGGACGUAUACGGUGUGACGCCUGCCCGGUGCCGGAAGGUUAAUUGAUGGGGUCAGCGCAAGCGAAGCUCCUGAUCGAAGCCCCGGUAAACGGCGGCCGUAACUAUAACGGUCCUAAGGUAGCGAAAUUCCUUGUCGGGUAAGUUCCGACCUGCACGAAUGGCGUAAUGAUGGCCAGGCUGUCUCCACCCGAGACUCAGUGAAAUUGAACUCGCUGUGAAGAUGCAGUGUACCCGCGGCAAGACGGAAAGACCCCGUGAACCUUUACUAUAGCUUGACACUGAACAUUGAGCCUUGAUGUGUAGGAUAGGUGGGAGGCUUUGAAGUGUGGACGCCAGUCUGCAUGGAGCCGACCUUGAAAUACCACCCUUUAAUGUUUGAUGUUCUAACGUGGACCCGUUACCCGGGUUGCGGACAGUGUCUGGUGGGUAGUUUGACUGGGGCGGUCUCCUCCUAAAGAGUAACGGAGGAGCACGAAGGUUGGCUAAUCCUGGUCGGACAUCAGGAGGUUAGUGCAAUGGCAUAAGCCAGCUUGACUGCGAGCGUGACGGCGCGAGCAGGUGCGAAAGCAGGUCAUAGUGAUCCGGUGGUUCUGAAUGGAAGGGCCAUCGCUCAACGGAUAAAAGGUACUCCGGGGAUAACAGGCUGAUACCGCCCAAGAGUUCAUAUCGACGGCGGUGUUUGGCACCUCGAUGUCGGCUCAUCACAUCCUGGGGCUGAAGUAGGUCCCAAGGGUAUGGCUGUUCGCCAUUUAAAGUGGUACGCGAGCUGGGUUUAGAACGUCGUGAGACAGUUCGGUCCCUAUCUGCCGUGGGCGCUGGAGAACUGAGGGGGGCUGCUCCUAGUACGAGAGGACCGGAGUGGACGCAUCACUGGUGUUCGGGUUGUCAUGCCAAUGGCACUGCCCGGUAGCUAAAUGCGGAAGAGAUAAGUGCUGAAAGCAUCUAAGCACGAAACUUGCCCCGAGAUGAGUUCUCCCUGAGACUUAGAGUCUCCUGAAGGAACGUUGAAGACGACGACGUUGAUAG
RNAcentral lists this ribosomal RNA (1589 nucleotides) under Salmonella enterica subsp. enterica serovar Enteritidis. RNAcentral describes it as "partial 23S ribosomal RNA". It matches the Rfam family "Bacterial large subunit ribosomal RNA", at positions 1292 to 2859 of the family's 2925-position model. The record is from RNAcentral. Lineage: Bacteria; Pseudomonadati; Pseudomonadota; Gammaproteobacteria; Enterobacterales; Enterobacteriaceae.